AUUGAACGCUGGCGGCAGGCCUAACACAUGCAAGUCGAACGGUAACAGGAAGCAGCUUGCUUCUUUGCUGACGAGUGGCGGACGGGUGAGUAUUGUCUGGGAAACUGCCUGAUGGAGGGGGAUAACUACUGGAAACGGUAGCUAAUACCGCAUAACGUCGCAUGACCAUUGAGGGGGACCUUCGGGCCUCUUGCCAUCGGAUGUGCACAGACGGGAUUAGCUUGUUGGUGGGGUAACGGCUCACCAGGGCGACGAUCCCUAGCUGGUCUGAGAGGAUGACCACCCACACUGGAACUGAGACACGGUCCAGACUCCUACGGGAGGCAGCAGUGGGGAAUAUUGCACAAUGGGCGCAAGCCUGAUGCAGACAUGCCGCGUGUAUGAGGAAGGCCUCCGGGUUGUAAAGUACUUUCAGCGGGGAGGAAGGGAGUAAAGGUAAUACCUUUGCUCAUUGACGUUACCCGAAGAAGAAGCACCGGCUAACUCCGUG
This 490-nucleotide ribosomal RNA is filed under the name uncultured bacterium. RNAcentral's name for it is "partial 16S ribosomal RNA". It matches the Rfam family "Bacterial small subunit ribosomal RNA", at positions 30 to 507 of the family's 1533-position model. The record is from RNAcentral.